GCCACAGGAGACUCGAGUUCCAUCCCUGGAUUGGGAAGAUCCCCUGGAGUGGGAAAUGCAUAAAAUAUUUCCAAGAAGUUAUUUCACAAUUCCUUACUAUCCUAACUGAGAGCCACCACUUUGAUAUGAAGAGGGAAACUGCAUUUCAGGAUAUCCACUCAGAACAACCACAGCAAAUACAACGUUCUUCUUAUUGGUGCAGAUUGAGAACUGAGAGUGUGGACAUGGCCUUGAGGCUGACUUAGUUAUUUCCCACAUGAGGAAUCAAUAAAUGGCAGCAUUUAAAAUUUGAAAAUAAAAUUGGUCUCAUUCUUAAAAACA
Molecule: long non-coding RNA, 321 nt
Organism: Bubalus bubalis (water buffalo)
Lineage: Eukaryota; Metazoa; Chordata; Mammalia; Artiodactyla; Bovidae
Exons: 3
Source: RefSeq, a predicted model, not a curated record